Small nucleolar RNA from Molossus molossus (Pallas's mastiff bat), 65 nucleotides. RefSeq annotates it as small nucleolar RNA SNORD109A. The transcript has a single exon. Lineage: Eukaryota; Metazoa; Chordata; Mammalia; Chiroptera; Molossidae. The record is from RefSeq and is a predicted model, not a curated record.
GGAUCUGCCAGGAGCACAGGGUCUGAGGGUCUGAGAGACUCGGUCCAGAUGCCAGCCUGAGGUCC